This 218-nucleotide ribosomal RNA is filed under the name Clostridioides difficile. RNAcentral describes it as "partial 23S ribosomal RNA". It matches the Rfam family "Bacterial large subunit ribosomal RNA", at positions 441 to 660 of the family's 2925-position model. The record is from RNAcentral. Lineage: Bacteria; Bacillati; Bacillota; Clostridia; Peptostreptococcales; Peptostreptococcaceae.
AAGCAGGAGGGACCACCCUCCAAGGCUAAAUACUACCUAGUGACCGAUAGCGUAUAGUACCGUGAGGGAAAGGUGAAAAGAACCCCGGGAGGGGAGUGAAAUAGAACCUGAAACCCUGCACUUACAAUCUGUGGAAGCACAUUUCUUGUGUGACCGCGUACUUUUUGUAGAACGGGCCAACGAGUUACGUUAAGUAGCAAGGUUAAGCACUUAAGGUG